UGGGGAAUAUUGGACAAUGGGCGAAAGCCUGAUCCAGCCAUGCCGCGUGUGUGAAGAAGGUCUUCGGAUUGUAAAGCACUUUAAGUUGGGAGGAAGGGCAGUAAGCGAAUACCUUGCUGUUUUGACGUUACCGACAGAAUAAGCACCGGCUAACUCUGUGCCAGCAGCCGCGGUAAUACAGAGGGUGCAAGCGUUAAUCGGAAUUACUGGGCGUAAAGCGCGCGUAGGUGGUUCGUUAAGUUGAAUGUGAAAGCCCCGGGCUCAACCUGGGAACUGCAUCCUAACCUGGCGAGCUAGAGUAGGGCAGAGCGUGGUGGAAUUUCCUGUGUAGCGGAGAAAUGCGUAGAUAUAGGAAAGAACACCAGUGGCGAAGGCGACCACCUGGGCUCAUACUGACACUGAGGUGCGAAAGCGUGGGGAGCAAACAGG
This 429-nucleotide ribosomal RNA is filed under the name Pseudomonadota bacterium. RNAcentral describes it as "Proteobacteria bacterium partial 16S ribosomal RNA". It matches the Rfam family "Bacterial small subunit ribosomal RNA", at positions 355 to 776 of the family's 1533-position model. Lineage: Bacteria; Pseudomonadati; Pseudomonadota. The record is from RNAcentral.